Molecule: non-coding RNA, 499 nt
Organism: Lolium perenne
Lineage: Eukaryota; Viridiplantae; Streptophyta; Magnoliopsida; Poales; Poaceae
Source: RefSeq, a predicted model, not a curated record
UAUGCAAAAAGUUUGCUCGCAUGGCUUCCAGGGCAGUGGACUUUGAUGAAUCUUAUUUCUUACUAGAUAGUUCACUUGAUUCAAUGAACAAAACCAUAGAAGCGAAGAUACAAGAAAUUUUCAAGCCAGAAGAAUCCCCUGAGGACAGUUCGCCAGUGCCACAGGAAAUCUUGGAGAGUAGAGUGGCUGGUUUAAAAAAAAGAGAAGGCCAAAAAAGUAGUAAGAGACCAAAGGAUUGGGUUGAAUUAAUGCAAGAAAAAGCUAAAAAGAAAGGGAAAAAACAGGCCAAGUCAACGCAAGGGAAAUCCAAAAAAAGAAAGAAAGGUGGAGCAGACACAAAGGAGGGUCCAAGUGCUGAAGUACAAUACUACAAAAAUAAUGGUGUCGAGGUACCAAUAGAUAUCUUGUGGAUGAACGAAAAUGGAAAUGCUACUGGCUUCACGGAAUCGUUGUUGGUAAGAUAUCAAGUUUAUGUACGAUAAAACUUGACAACAUUAAA